CUGGCUCAGGAUGAACGCUGGCGGCGUGCUUAACACAUGCAAGUCGAGCGAAGCAGUUAAGAAGAUUCUUCGGAUGAUCCUUAACUGACUGAGCGGCGGACGGGUGAGUAACGCGUGGGUGACCUGCCCCAUACCGGGGGAUAACAGCUGGAAACGGCUGCUAAUACCGCAUAAGCGCACAGAGCUGCAUGGCUCGGUGUGAAAAACUCCGGUGGUAUGGGAUGGGCCCGCGUCUGAUUAGGCAGUUGGCGGGGUAACGGCCCACCAAACCGACGAUCAGUAGCCGGCCUGAGAGGGCGACCGGCCACAUUGGGACUGAGACACGGCCCAAACUCCUACGGGAGGCAGCAGUGGGGAAUAUUGCACAAUGGGGGAAACCCUGAUGCAGCGACGCCGCGUGAGCGAAGAAGUAUUUCGGUAUGUAAAGCUCUAUCAACAGGGAAGAUAAUGACGGUACCUGACUAAGAAGCCCCGGCUAACUACGUGCCAGCAGCCGCGGUAAUACGUAGGGGGCAAGCGUUAUCCGGAUUUACUGGGUGUAAAGGGAGCGUAGACGGCAAGGCAAGUCUGAUGUGAAAACCCAGGGCUUAACCCUGGGACUGCAUUGGAAACUGUAUGGCUCGAGUGCCGGAGAGGUAAGCGGAAUUCCUAGUGUAGCGGUGAAAUGCGUAGAUAUUAGGAAGAACACCAGUGGCGAAGGCGGCUUACUGGACGGUAACUGACGUUGAGGCUCGAAAGCGUGGGGAGCCC
This 750-nucleotide ribosomal RNA is filed under the name uncultured bacterium. Its description in RNAcentral is "bacterial SSU rRNA". It matches the Rfam family "Bacterial small subunit ribosomal RNA", at positions 19 to 771 of the family's 1533-position model. The record is from RNAcentral.